GAAACCGGCGAACGGGUGCGUAACACGUGAGGAACCUGCCCCGAAGACCGGGAUAGCCCGAGGAAACUCGGAUUAAUACCGGAUACCCUCUUUGGACCACAUGGUCGAUUGAGGAAAUGGUCCGCCGCUUCGGGAUGGCCUCGCGGCCUAUCAGCUUGUUGGUGAGGUAAUGGCUCACCAAGGCCGAGACGGGUAGCUGGUCUGAGAGGACGAUCAGCCACACUGGGACUGAGACACGGCCCAGACUCCUACGGGAGGCAGCAGCAGGGAAUAUUGCACAAUGGGCGGAAGCCUGAUGCAGCGACACCGCGUGCGGGAUGAAGGCCUUCGGGUUGUAAACCGCUUUCAGGAGGGACGAAAAUGACGGUACCUCCAGAAGAAGGCCCGGCCAACUACGUGCCAGCAGCCGCGGUAAUACGUAGGGGCCAAACGUUGUCCGGAUUUAUUGGGCGUAAAGGGCUCGUAGGCGGUUCAGCAAGUCGGUCGUGAAAGCCCGGGGCUCAACCCCGGGACGCCGGUCGAAACUGUUGUGACUAGGGUCCGGUAGAGGUGAGUGG
RNAcentral lists this ribosomal RNA (557 nucleotides) under uncultured bacterium. RNAcentral describes it as "bacterial SSU rRNA". It matches the Rfam family "Bacterial small subunit ribosomal RNA", at positions 91 to 664 of the family's 1533-position model. The record is from RNAcentral.